This 789-nucleotide ribosomal RNA is filed under the name uncultured archaeon. RNAcentral's name for it is "bacterial SSU rRNA". It matches the Rfam family "Archaeal small subunit ribosomal RNA", at positions 85 to 879 of the family's 1478-position model. The record is from RNAcentral.
ACGGCUCAGUAACACGUGGACAAUCUACCCUAAGGUGGGGGAUAACCCCGGGAAACUGGGGAUAAUACCCCAUAGACUAUAGAUGCUGGAAUGCUUUGUAGUUGAAAGGUCAGCCGCCAUAGGAUGGGUCUGCGGCCGAUUAGGUAGUUGUUGGGGUAACGGCCCAACAAGCCUGUAAUCGGUACGGGUUGUGGGAGCAAGAGCCCGGAGAUGGAUUCUGAGACACGAAUCCAGGCCCUACGGGGCGCAGCAGGCGCGAAAACUUUACAAUGCGGGAGACCGUGAUAAGGGAACUCCGAGUGCCCGUUAAAUCGGGCUGUCCACCAGUUUAAAAAACUGGUGAAGAAAGGGCCGGGCAAGACCGGUGCCAGCCGCCGCGGUAAUACCGGCGGCUCGAGUGGUGGCCACUAUUACUGGGCUUAAAGCGUUCGUAGCUGGUUUGUUAAGUCUCUGGGGAAAUCUUCCGGCUUAACCGGAAGGCGUCUCAGGGAUACUGGCAGACUAGGGACCGGAAGAGGUGAGGGGUACUCCAGGGGUAGGAGUGAAAUCCUGUAAUCCUUGGGGGACCACCUGUGGCGAAGGCGCCUCACCAGGACGGCUCCGACAGUGAGGGACGAAAGCUGGGGGAGCAAACCGGAUUAGAUACCCGGGUAGUCCCAGCCGUAAACGAUGUGCGUUAGGUGUAUCGGUGACCACGAGUCACCGAGGUGCCGAAGAGAAAUCGUGAAACGUACCGCCUGGGAAGUACGGUCGCAAGGCUGAAACUUAAAGGAAUUGGCGGGGGAGCAC